This 480-nucleotide ribosomal RNA is filed under the name uncultured bacterium. Its description in RNAcentral is "partial 16S ribosomal RNA". It matches the Rfam family "Bacterial small subunit ribosomal RNA", at positions 28 to 507 of the family's 1533-position model. The record is from RNAcentral.
GACGAACGCUGGCGGCGUGCUUAACACAUGCAAGUCGAACGAUGAAGAAAAGAAUCGAAGCUUCGGCAGAAAUUCAUUUCGGAUUAGUGGCAGACGGGUGAGUAACGCGUGAGCAACCUACCUCUUACAAAGGGAUAGCCUCGGGAAACCGGGAUUAAUACCAUAUAACAUUGCGACGAAGCAUUUCGAUGCAAUCAAAGCUAUGGCGGUAAGAGAUGGGCUCGCGUCCCAUUAACCGGAUGGUGAGGUAACGGCUCACCAUAGUGACGAUGGGUAACCGGCCUGAGAGGGUGAGCGGUGACACUGGAGCUGAGACACGGUCCAGACUCCUACGGGAGGCAGCAGUGGGGAAUAUUGCACAAUGGAGGGAACUCUGAUGCAGCGACGCCGCGUGAGUGAUGAAGGAAUUCGUUUCGUAAAACUCUGUUCUAUGGGAAGAAAAGGACUGUACCAUAGGAGAAAGCUCCGGCUAAAUACGUG